RNAcentral lists this ribosomal RNA (492 nucleotides) under uncultured bacterium. RNAcentral's name for it is "partial 16S ribosomal RNA". It matches the Rfam family "Bacterial small subunit ribosomal RNA", at positions 28 to 507 of the family's 1533-position model. The record is from RNAcentral.
AUUGAACGCUGGCGGCAUGCUUUACACAUGCAAGUCGAACGGUAACACGCCGUCGGGUGCGGACGCGUGGCGGACGGGUGAGUAAUUAAUCGGAAAGUGCCCAGAGCUGGGGGAUAAGGCAUCGUAAGCUGUGCUAAGACCACAUCUGAUCUGAGCAUGAACGCGGUGGACCGGGCAGCAAAGUUUGGCCUCGCGCCGUUGGAGCGGCCGAUGUCCGAUUAGGUGGUUGGGGGGGUAAAGGCCUACCCAGCGGGCGAUCUGUAGCUGGUCUGAGAGGACGGCAGGCGACACUGGGACUUAGACACGGCCAAGGCUCCUACGGGAGGCAGCAGUGGGGUAUGUUGGACAAUGGUCGCAAGUCUGAUCCAGUAAGGCCGCGUGCGAGGAGACGGCGUUCGGGUUGUAAACCGCUUUUGUACGGAACGAAAAGGCUCUGGCUAAUACCUGGGGCGGAUGACGGUACCGUAAGAAUAAGCACCGGCUAACUACGUG